GACGAAGGAUGCAAGCGUUAUCCGGAUUCAUUGGGUUUAAAGGGAGCGUAGGCGGCCUGAUAAGUCAGUGGUGAAAGCCUGUUGCUUAACAACAGAACUGCCAUUGAUACUGUCGGGCUUGAGUACGGUUGCUGUGGGCGGAAUAUGACAUGUAGUGGUGAAAUACAUAGAGAUGUCAUAGAACACCGAUUGCGAAGGCAGCUCACAAAGCCGUAACUGACGCUGAGGCUCGAAAGUGUGGGGAUCAAAC
Molecule: ribosomal RNA, 250 nt
Filed under: uncultured bacterium
Lineage: Bacteria
Description: partial 16S ribosomal RNA
Rfam family: Bacterial small subunit ribosomal RNA
Source: RNAcentral